GCGUAAAGGGCUCGCAGGCGGUUUCUUAAGUCUGAUGUGAAAGCCCCCGGCUCAACCGGGGAGGGUCAUUGGAAACUGGGAAACUUGAGUGCAGAAGAGGAGAGUGGAAUUCCACGUGUAGCGGUGAAAUGCGUAGAGAUGUGGAGGAACACCAGUGGCGAAGGCGACUCUCUGGUCUGUAACUGACGCUGAGGAGCGAAAGCGUGGGGAGCGAACAGGAUUAGAUACCCUGGUAGUCCACGCCGUAAACGAUGAGUGCUAAGUGUUAGGGGGUUUCCGCCCCUUAGUGCUGCAGCUAACGCAUUAAGCACUCCGCCUGGGGAGUACGGUCGCAAGACUGAAACUCAAAGGAAUUGACGGGGGCCCGCACAAGCGGUGGAGCAUGUGGUUUAAUUCGAAGCAACGCGAAGAACCUUACCAGGUCUUGACAUCCUCUGACAACCCUAGAGAUAGGGCUUUCCCUUCGGGGACAGAGUGACAGGUGGUGCAUGGUUGUCGUCAGCUCGUGUCGUGAGAUGUUGGGUUAAGUCCCGCAACGAGCGCAACCCUUGAUCUUAGUUGCCAGCAUUCAGUUGGGCACUCUAAGGUGACUGCCGGUGACAAACCGGAGGAAGGUGGGGAUGACGUCAAAUCAUCAUGCCCCUUAUGACCUGGGCUACACACGUGCUACAAUGGACAGAA
This 681-nucleotide ribosomal RNA is filed under the name Bacillus pumilus. RNAcentral's name for it is "bacterial SSU rRNA". It matches the Rfam family "Bacterial small subunit ribosomal RNA", at positions 558 to 1239 of the family's 1533-position model. Lineage: Bacteria; Bacillati; Bacillota; Bacilli; Caryophanales; Bacillaceae. The record is from RNAcentral.